RNAcentral lists this ribosomal RNA (850 nucleotides) under uncultured Enterococcus sp. Its description in RNAcentral is "bacterial SSU rRNA". It matches the Rfam family "Bacterial small subunit ribosomal RNA", at positions 53 to 873 of the family's 1533-position model. Lineage: Bacteria; Bacillati; Bacillota; Bacilli; Lactobacillales; Enterococcaceae. The record is from RNAcentral.
ACAUGCAAGUCGUACGCUUCUUUUUCCACCGGAGCUUGCUCCACCGGAAAAAGAAGAGUGGCGAACGGGUGAGUAACACGUGGGUAACCUACCCAUCAGAAGGGGAUAACACUUGGAAACAGGUGCUAAUACCGUAUAACAAUCGAAACCGCAUGGUUUUGAUUUGAAAGGCGCUUUCGGGUGUCGCUGAUGGAUGGACCCGCGGUGCAUUAGCUAGUUGGUGAGGUAACGGCUCACCAAGGCCACGAUGCAUAGCCGACCUGAGAGGGUGAUCGGCCACAUUGGGACUGAGACACGGCCCAAACUCCUACGGGAGGCAGCAGUAGGGAAUCUUCGGCAACGGACGAAAGUCUGACCGAGCAACGCCGCGUGAGUGAAGAAGGUUUUCGGAUCGUAAAACUCUGUUGUUAGAGAAGAACAAGGAUGAGAGUAACUGUUCAUCCCUUGACGGUAUCUAACCAGAAAGCCACGGCUAACUACGUGCCAGCAGCCGCGGUAAUACGUAGGUGGCAAGCGUUGUCCGGAUUUAUUGGGCGUAAAGCGAGCGCAGGCGGUUUCUUAAGUCUGAUGUGAAAGCCCCCGGCUCAACCGGGGAGGGUCAUUGGAAACUGGGAGACUUGAGUGCAGAAGAGGAGAGUGGAAUUCCAUGUGUAGCGGUGAAAUGCGUAGAUAUAUGGAGGAACACCAGUGGCGAAGGCGGCUCUCUGGUCUGUAACUGACGCUGAGGCUCGAAAGCGUGGGGAGCAAACAGGAUUAGAUACCCUGGUAGUCCACGCCGUAAACGAUGAGUGCUAAGUGUUGGAGGGUUUCCGCCCUUCAGUGCUGCAGCUAACGCAUUAAGCACUCCGCC